RNAcentral lists this ribosomal RNA (253 nucleotides) under uncultured bacterium. Its description in RNAcentral is "partial 16S ribosomal RNA". It matches the Rfam family "Bacterial small subunit ribosomal RNA", at positions 524 to 776 of the family's 1533-position model. The record is from RNAcentral.
UACGUAGGGGGCUAGCGUUGUCCGGAAUCAUUGGGCGGAAAGAGCGUGUAGGCGGUCCGGUAAGUCCGCUGUGAAAGUCGGGGGCUCAACCCUCGAAUGCCGGUGGAUACUGUCGGGCUAGAGUGCGGAAGAGGCGAGUGGAAUUCCUGGUGUAGCGGUGAAAUGCGUAGAUAUCUGGAGGAACACCGGUGGCGAAGGCGGCGUCCUGGACCAACACUGACACUGAUGAGCGAAAGCCAGGGGAGCAAACGGG